This 733-nucleotide ribosomal RNA is filed under the name Staphylococcus aureus. Its description in RNAcentral is "partial 23S ribosomal RNA". It matches the Rfam family "Bacterial large subunit ribosomal RNA", at positions 688 to 1425 of the family's 2925-position model. The record is from RNAcentral. Lineage: Bacteria; Bacillati; Bacillota; Bacilli; Caryophanales; Staphylococcaceae.
UAGGGCGUUUAGUAUUUGGUCGUAGACCCGAAACCAGGUGAUCUACCCUUGGUCAGGUUGAAGUUCAGGUAACACUGAAUGGAGGACCGAACCGACUUACGUUGAAAAGUGAGCGGAUGAACUGAGGGUAGCGGAGAAAUUCCAAUCGAACCUGGAGAUAGCUGGUUCUCUCCGAAAUAGCUUUAGGGCUAGCCUCAAGUGAUGAUUAUUGGAGGUAGAGCACUGUUUGGACGAGGGGCCCCUCUCGGGUUACCGAAUUCAGACAAACUCCGAAUGCCAAUUAAUUUAACUUGGGAGUCAGAACAUGGGUGAUAAGGUCCGUGUUCGAAAGGGAAACAGCCCAGACCACCAGCUAAGGUCCCAAAAUAUAUGUUAAGUGGAAAAGGAUGUGGCGUUGCCCAGACAACUAGGAUGUUGGCUUAGAAGCAGCCAUCAUUUAAAGAGUGCGUAAUAGCUCACUAGUCGAGUGACACUGCGCCGAAAAUGUACCGGGGCUAAACAUAUUACCGAAGCUGUGGAUUGUCCUUUGGACAAUGGUAGGAGAGCGUUCUAAGGGCGUUGAAGCAUGAUCGUAAGGACAUGUGGAGCGCUUAGAAGUGAGAAUGCCGGUGUGAGUAGCGAAAGACGGGUGAGAAUCCCGUCCACCGAUUGACUAAGGUUUCCAGAGGAAGGCUCGUCCGCUCUGGGUUAGUCGGGUCCUAAGCUGAGGCCGACAGGCGUAGGCGAUGGAUAA